UCCUACGGGGGGCAGCAGUGGGGAAUAUUGCGCAAUGGGCGAAAGCCUGACGCAGCGACGCCGCGUGAGGGAUGAAGGUCUUCGGAUCGUAAACCUCUGUCAGCAGGGAAGAACGGUCACUGUGCUAAUCAGCAGUGAAUUGACGGUACCUGCAAAGGAAGCACCGGCUAACUCCGUGCCAGCAGCCGCGGUAAUACGGAGGGUGCGAGCGUUAAUCGGAUUUACUGGGCGUAAAGCGCUCGUAGGCGGUAUGUCAAGUCAAGGGUGAAAUCCCCGGGCUCACCGUGGGAACUGCCUUUGAAACU
Molecule: ribosomal RNA, 305 nt
Filed under: uncultured bacterium
Lineage: Bacteria
Description: bacterial SSU rRNA
Rfam family: Bacterial small subunit ribosomal RNA
Source: RNAcentral